RNAcentral lists this microRNA precursor (89 nucleotides) under Canis lupus familiaris (dog). Its description in RNAcentral is "mir-8799 microRNA precursor family". It matches the Rfam family "mir-8799 microRNA precursor family". Lineage: Eukaryota; Metazoa; Chordata; Mammalia; Carnivora; Canidae. The record is from Rfam by way of RNAcentral.
CGGUGGAGGCCGGAUCCUGGGCUGUGUCCCGGCGCCCUGGGCUCCGGGGCCUGCGCUGUUUGAUUCGCGCUCCCGGCCCGCAGCCCCCU